GGCUCGGUGGUGGAUGGUUCAUACUUGCUUUCUGUGGUGUCUCGAGUGAAGUCUUGAAGCAGGAGGAGUCUGUUCGAAUCAGGCCCGAGCUA
This is a non-coding RNA of Mycena vulgaris, 92 nucleotides long. Lineage: Eukaryota; Fungi; Basidiomycota; Agaricomycetes; Agaricales; Mycenaceae. The record is from the annotation of a GenBank genome assembly.